AGAGUUGAUCCUGGCUCAGGAUGGACGCUGGCGGCGUGCUUAACACAUGCGAGUCGAACGGUGAAGUGAGGAGCUUGCUCCUUGCCGGAUCAGUGGCGAACGGGUGAGUAACACGUGAGUAACCUGCCCUUGAACUCUGGGAUAAGCGUUGGAAACGACGUCUAAUACCGGAUACGACCUUCGGAGGCAUCUCCUGAAGGGUGGAAAGAAUUUCGGUCAAGGAUGGACUCGCGGCCUAUCAGCUAGUUGGUGAGGUAAUGGCCCACCAAGGCGACGACGGGUAGCCGGCCUGAGAGGGUGACCGGCCACACUGGGACUGAGACACGGCCCAGACUCCUACGGGAGGCAGCAGUGGGGAAUAUUGCACAAUGGGCGCAAGCCUGAUGCAGCAACGCCGCGUGAGGGACGACGGCCUUCGGGUUGUAAACCUCUUUUAGUAGG
RNAcentral lists this ribosomal RNA (441 nucleotides) under uncultured bacterium. RNAcentral describes it as "bacterial SSU rRNA". It matches the Rfam family "Bacterial small subunit ribosomal RNA", at positions 8 to 443 of the family's 1533-position model. The record is from RNAcentral.